ACACGCAAUAGUUUUGAACAUAUUAGGCUACAUUAUGUCGGUGUUGAAGUGUUUAGAUUCCCAGCGCUAGUAGUAGGCAUUUUAACAGCAACUAUGGCUAUGCGCUAACACCCAUUAGCUGAGUUUGAUUAGCGAUAACGUAGGCUACGAGAUGGUUCCUUAGCCUCUUUGACAGCUCAGUGACAUCAGGUGAAGCAUACUCUAUCCACUGGUCCUCUGCAAACUCCCAGUACCAGGCCCACGUUGUGACGAGCAGCGAGACAGUGUGAAACUCUGGUGAUGUUACGGACAGGCGGCGCACCUCAGAUGACCCACAACGCAUCAGGUCAAAGUCCACAGUGUCUGCACCAUCAACGCAUCCCAUUCCAGGGCAGAGUUUUUCUCCAAGCACAAGGCAGCUCUGGAGACUCGUCUUCCCUCUGUCCUCGCCUCCAUCCUGAUUCCGCUCCAGGAGAGGCAGGUUCUUAAUCAACUGGAGCGGGAGCUGGUGGAGAGCAAAUCCAUCAGCGUGGAACGGAACAGUGUUCUGCUCACCAUGAUACAGAAGAAAGGAUCCACAGCCCAAAUUGAGUUCUACAAUGUUCUAAAGGAGGCCGACCCUACUCUGGUGAAAAACCUGGAAAAAAACACCUGAAUCUUAAGGACAGAGAAUUCUCCAAACAGAAAUUAUUUUGUCUUUUCUCAGAGCACAUAGCCUUUAAGGGUCUCCUCUCAUCUCAGAGAUCCUGCCAAAUAGUACUCCUCUUCACUAUAGAUGUUGUACUCUACGUGCAGUUGAUCUCCUGCUCCUAGCUUGUUUUGUUUGUGUACAAUGCUAUUGUUAAGCCCAAAAUUGAACAUUCGGUAUGUUUGACAUUGUUUUUUUUUAAUUAUUUUUCACAUGAAUGGGUUACUUUUAUGUAGGCCUACCCCAAGUAUACAACUAUGUUGUUAUAUUUUACUUAUAUUUUACU
Long non-coding RNA from Alosa alosa (allis shad), 953 nucleotides. RefSeq lists it as uncharacterized. Lineage: Eukaryota; Metazoa; Chordata; Actinopteri; Clupeiformes; Clupeidae. The transcript has 3 exons. The record is from RefSeq and is a predicted model, not a curated record.